CCUCACCGAGCAACCCCACUGCACAGUCGUCGUACAUCUUGCCAUCAAUAAUUGAUCCCAAUAAUUUCAAGAAAAGGGAUCAUUUUUUCUUUAUUUUUGUAAGAACAUAAGCAACAGAGAAAUAUUUUUUUUCAAAAAACAAACUGGCCGCCCUGCGUUUGAAAUUCCUACACUCAGUUAUAUGGAUUCCAUGGAGAAUCCAAAACCAUUUCAAAAAGCAAGGAAUAACUGGCCCUGCCAGCCAUCCAAUCUUCUAAAUGCUAAGGGUGUGUCCAAGCCAUCGUCUAAUUUUAACUGUGAUGUUCUUUACAGACUGGCUCCAUUUACUAUACAAGAAUGGUCAAGGAGGAAUGGGAAGACGUGCGUUUCUCCAUUGAUUUGGAGUCAAGCCCAGGUUGUUGGCUAUAUCUGAUCCACACAUGAUCAAGGAGAUUCUCACAAAUACAACUGCAGGGUCAUGAUGUAGUCUCCAUCCUUGAUCGAGUUUCCUACUGUUGCUAAUUAUGAUAUAUUUUUUUUCUUUUUUGGGAUUAGACAUACCAUGGUUAAGGAAAAAUAAAUCGAGAUUUCUGACUCUGGCUUGGCAUGGAUCUUUGGAGGCAAACAAACAGAGGACAGAACACAGAGAGGAGUUGGGACUUGUGGAUACAUGUCUCCAGGAUAUGCAUUGGAUGGCGUUUUCUCAAUCAAGGGUGAUGUCUUUAGCUUUGGUUUAGUUGCACUUGGAACUCUGUGGGAAAAGAAAUACGGCAUCUUACAAGUCUAAUCAUAACUUUUAGCCUUUCAGCUUAUGUGAGUAAUCAAGAUUUUUGUAGCCACUCUUUGUUUGUCUCUGCUACGUACUAAUUUUGAUUUUUGAAGUUUUCCCAUGCAUGGAGGUUGUGGAAAGAGGAAAAGGUACUGUAUGGAUAGAGAAUUAUGCGAAACUUGUGAUGCCAAUGAAUUUGUGAGGUGUGUGAAUGUUGGCCUCUUAUGUGUGCAAGAACAUCCAUGGGAUCGUUCAACCUUGUCGAACAAAGUUUUCAUGCUUGGAAGUGAAA
Populus nigra (black poplar) is the source of this 1040-nucleotide long non-coding RNA. RefSeq lists it as uncharacterized. The record is from RefSeq and is a predicted model, not a curated record. The transcript has 2 exons. NCBI's taxonomy places the organism in Eukaryota, Viridiplantae, Streptophyta, Magnoliopsida, Malpighiales, Salicaceae.